Molecule: long non-coding RNA, 1114 nt
Filed under: Chinchilla lanigera (long-tailed chinchilla)
Lineage: Eukaryota; Metazoa; Chordata; Mammalia; Rodentia; Chinchillidae
Description: lncRNA (ENSCLAG00000026917.1)
Source: RNAcentral
CCCUCCCCCAGUACAGGGGAUUAAACCCAGGAUCUUUACACUGAGCUACAUCCCCACCCCUUUUUACUUUUUCUUUUGAAACAGGGACUCACUAAUUUGCCCAAGCUGGGCUCAAAAUUUGAUCCUCCUGCCUCAGCCUCAGAGUAGCUGGGAUUACAGGCGUUGCACCACCAUCCUGGCUCCUGCCUUACUCUUUGAAUGGGCUGGAUGAAGACCCACAGACCCAGUUUCAAGGCCAGGCUCGGAAGACGCCCGCCUUCUGCCCCGGGGGCAGUGGAUAUACUGACCCUCCUCUCUCGGGCCGGGACUGCGGCUGCUCCUGGCUCCUCCGGCUGCCACAAGUUUACUUUGGAUCCGAGUCUCGCAAGUCUUCGAUUUUCGAAUCAGUCCACAAAGGCCAGGCCUGCGACCCCUGCGACUCUGCUGCCUCUGCUGGAUCCAGAUACCCAGAAUGGCUUCCUGGUGCUACUGCCUCCUCCACCUCCUGACCUGGAGUCUCUCUGGCACCUCCUCUGACUCCCCAAAUGAAUCAAGGAACCCUUGGGCCACAGACCCCGCGGUCCCUGGCGAGGUGGUGGAGACCACCGACAGUGUUUGCAAGUUCCCCGGGCAGCAGCUUAGCUGGUGGCAAGCCCAAGAGUCCUGCGAACAGCGGUUUGGCCACUUGGCCCUGGGACCCCUAGAUGAAGUUUCCGCUCCGCUGCUGCGCGACUCCAUCUGGGUGGGCCAGAGAGAGGCCUCUUUAAGGAGACCCCCGCAGAGGCGUGAGUGGGGGCCUGGGGCGAGGCGGGGGCUCUGACGCCCUUCAGAGAUGGGAGCCCACGUGACAGUCCUUGUGGAAAGCGCCCAAAGUGACACCUCGCUGUACUUCCAGGGUCCUUCACGUGGACUGGAAGUAGGGGUGACCCUUGGGACACAGAACCUGGGAACCCCCGUUUCUUUUUUCCCCGAGGUGGGAGGCACCCCAGAUCUCAGGAGGGGCCCCGCAGAGGUGCCAGAUCGCACUCAGCAGCAAAGCGAGGUGUGCGGCUGGGGAAACUGAGGGCCCGGGCCGUGUGUCCCCGCAGGCGCACGCACCUCCGCCGCGCUGGUGUUCGGCCGGCGGAGCGCGGAC